Molecule: unclassified non-coding RNA, 343 nt
Filed under: soil metagenome
Description: partial contains 5.8S ribosomal RNA, internal transcribed spacer 2, and large subunit ribosomal RNA
Rfam family: 5.8S ribosomal RNA (bases 1-120)
Source: RNAcentral
GAUGAAGAACGCAGCGAAAUGCGAUAAGUAGUGUGAAUUGCAGAAUUCAGUGAAUCAUCGAAUCUUUGAACGCACAUUGCGCCCCUUGGUAUCCCGAGGGGCAUGCCUGUUCGAGCGUCAUUUCAACCCUCAAGCCCCCGGGCUUGGUGUUGGGGAUCGGCGAGCCUCCGCGCCCGCCGUCCCCUAAAUCUAGUGGCGGUCUCGCUGUAGCUUCCUCUGCGUAGUAGCACACCUCGCACUGGGAAACAGCGCGGCCACGCCGUUAAACCCCCAACUUCUGAACGUUUGACCUCGGAUCAGGUAGGAAUACCCGCUGAACUUAAGCAUAUCAAUAAGCGGAGGA